RNAcentral lists this long non-coding RNA (1092 nucleotides) under Homo sapiens (human). RNAcentral describes it as "non-protein coding lnc-ATP6V1B2-2:5". Lineage: Eukaryota; Metazoa; Chordata; Mammalia; Primates; Hominidae. The record is from RNAcentral.
AUCCACAGCGCUGUGUUCAAGGAACUCUUAUUUUACAUGGUUAUAACCCCCAACCACAAGAGGAGUGAUGCUGACAAUUCGGAUCUGCCUAAGAAAAGCCAUAAAGUCCUUCCUUUAAGUGAAAAGUGAAAGUUCUCGACUUAAUAAGGAAGGAAAAAAAUAACUUCAUGCUGAGGUUGCUAAGAUCUAUGAUAAGAAGGAAUCUUCUAUCUGUGAAAUUGUGAAGAAGGAAAAAGAAAUUUGUGCUAGUUUUGCUGCUGCAAAAGCUACUGCCACAGUGCACGGAAAUGCCUCUUGAAUGGGAGAAGCUGCUGCUCCCCCAAAUUGCUGGGGAAGAAAGGGAGUUCCUGAUCUUUCUUAUUGAGGCUCAUGGAGCUUCUGUCCUGGAGAUUCAGUAUACUUCAGUAAUGGCUCUGGAGAAGAGAACUCAGGAUCCUCAAGACCCAAUGGCUCGUGAUGAUAAAAGCCUUUGGGUCUACCGACAUUUUCCCUACGUGCUCAGACAUGUCUGCAUGCAUUUAUUGGCAUAUUUUUCCAUACUCAAAGCAAGUUGCUAUGUGUUAGUACUAAAGCAACCCAUAAUAGUAAAAACGAAUUUCUGCACCAAGAGAAUGAAUCGGCAGCUGAGAAAGUCAGAGUGAAGAGGCCCCAGUAAUAUCUCUACCUACUUGAAGGUUAAAUAUUCCUAAGACUCUAGGAGGAAAGAGGAGAGAAAGUGGGCCCUGUUCUUUCCUCCAGGAUGUAAGGUUUUUCCAGGCUGCUUUGAAAAGUCUCAAUUACUCCAGGCUAUAGAAGAAUACAAUCAGAGGUGAGUUCCCUGAAAUCAAGGACACUGCCUUAUCUAAUGGUGCUGGGAGUGCAGCGAACUUGCUGGGGACAGUUUGAAGGAUCAUCUUAAGCUCUGAAACCAGGUUGCUGCCACCUGCUACAGAUCACCCACAGCCAAUGUCCUUGGCUGAGUGACACAGCUUCCCCGUGACCGCCACUGAUCCAGCCACCAAGUAUGCAGCCCAACCUAUGAAGCUGAGCCCAGAAGUGGCUCAAAAAAACAAGCCACAACCCAGAACUGAAUCACAACAGCCUUUUCCUUUA